ACAGAAAUUCCUACCAAAGUUAUGAUCUAUCAUGCUAUAGUUUGGGCUAUUAUUGAACACAAGAGGUACCAGAAACAAGUUAUGGACAGUUGAUGUCUUAAAAGUGUGAGGAUCUGUAGGAAAUUUGAAAAGGUCAAAUACCAUUUUGGAUAUCAUCAUCCACUGGGCAAUGAUACUGAAGUUUAGAUUGUGAGUUUCAAAGGUGACAAAUGCAACCGGUAUGAUGAAUCCCGCGAAUUGUAUGAAUUGGUCUUGACGGUAUUACCGAACCGACGUCUCAUCAAUAGUAUGGGCAUUUGCAAUGAAGCCUUGUAUAAUGAGCAUUUGUAACAUGCAGGCUCAACAUAAGAUAGUAAAUAGCUUAACGAUUAUUCCCGCCGGCUUAACGAAGGAGUGUAAAAUUGCUUAACGAACGCCUUGUAGUAUGGACAUUUGUUACGUGUUUAUACGACGAAUUUUGUUAAGAUUU
This is a long non-coding RNA of Panicum virgatum (switchgrass), 469 nucleotides long. RefSeq lists it as uncharacterized. NCBI's taxonomy places the organism in Eukaryota, Viridiplantae, Streptophyta, Magnoliopsida, Poales, Poaceae. The transcript is spliced from 3 exons. The record is from RefSeq and is a predicted model, not a curated record.